AUUGAACGCUGGCGGCAUGCCUUACACAUGCAAGUCGAACGGUAACAGGUCUUCGGAUGCUGACGAGUGGCGAACGGGUGAGUAAUACAUCGGAACGUGCCCGAUCGUGGGGGAUAACGCAGCGAAAGCUGUGCUAAUACCGCAUACGAUCUACGGAUGAAAGCGGGGGAUCGCAAGACCUCGCGCGGACGGAGCGGCCGAUGGCAGAUUAGGUAGUUGGUGGGAUAAAAGCUUACCAAGCCGACGAUCUGUAGCUGGUCUGAGAGGACGACCAGCCACACUGGGACUGAGACACGGCCCAGACUCCUACGGGAGGCAGCAGUGGGGAAUUUUGGACAAUGGGCGCAAGCCUGAUCCAGCCAUGCCGCGUGCAGGAUGAAGGCCUUCGGGUUGUAAACUAGCUUUUGUACGGAACGAAAAGACUCUCUCUAAUACAGGGGUGAAUGACGGUACCGUAAGAAUAAGCACCGGCUAACUACGUGCC
RNAcentral lists this ribosomal RNA (484 nucleotides) under uncultured bacterium. Its description in RNAcentral is "bacterial SSU rRNA". It matches the Rfam family "Bacterial small subunit ribosomal RNA", at positions 30 to 509 of the family's 1533-position model. The record is from RNAcentral.